Molecule: ribosomal RNA, 552 nt
Filed under: Bacillus toyonensis
Lineage: Bacteria; Bacillati; Bacillota; Bacilli; Caryophanales; Bacillaceae
Description: partial 16S ribosomal RNA
Rfam family: Bacterial small subunit ribosomal RNA
Source: RNAcentral
GGGCAUUGGGGGUCUAUAAUGCAGUCGAGCGAAUGGAUUAAGAGCUUGCUCUUAUGAAGUUAGCGGCGGACGGGUGAGUAACACGUGGGUAACCUGCCCAUAAGACUGGGAUAACUCCGGGAAACCGGGGCAAAUACCGGAUAACAUUUUGAACCGCAUGGUUCGAAAUUGAAAGGCGGCUUCGGCUGUCACUUAUGGAUGGACCCGCGUCGCAUUAGCUAGUUGGUGAGGUAACGGCUCACCAAGGCAACGAUGCGUAGCCGACCUGAGAGGGUGAUCGGCCACACUGGGACUGAAACACGGCCCAGACUCCUACGGGAGGCAGCAGUAGGGAAUCUUCCGCAAUGGACGAAAGUCUGACGGAGCAACGCCGCGUGAGUGAUGAAGGCUUUCGGGUCGUAAAACUCUGUUGUUAGGGAAGAACAAGUGCUAGUUGAAUAAGCUGGCACCUUGACGAUACGUAACCAGAAGGCCACGGAUAACUACGUGACAACGGGGGCGGUAAUGCGUGGGGGGGGGGGGGGUUGGGGGGGGUUAUUGGGGAUGGGGAGG